AUAAUUUAACUAAUAAGCUAAAUAAAUACAUACAUAAAAUUUGCUAUAUUUUUUAUAAAUAAUUUUCUAAACAAGCUAGCCAAAAUGAAUUAUUUUUAUUUGUCAAUUUUCCUUUUUUUUGUGUUAUUUGUACAAAAUGAUUUUGUUUUAAGUGAAAAAAUCAUUCCUAUAAGUCCUGCUAACCGUUCUAAAUUAAAAAAAAUAAUAGAAAACAAAAAAGAUUUUAAAAAAAAAAAAAAAUUAAAGGAUUGGUGAAAAAAAAAAAAAAUAUAUAUAUUGUAUAUAUUAUUGUAUGGUUGCACAAAUGUAUCAAUAUUCAUAACAGAAAAAAUGAUUAUUUUAUUUUUAUUUAUUUUUUUUUUUUUCACCAAUCCUUUAAUACCUCUUUCUGUAAGGCACCUAUUGAGGACACAGAAGAAGUUCUUGAAUCUUUAGAUGCCCUUAUGAGAGUGGAAGAAAUUCAAAAAAAAGUUGAAGAAGAAGAAUUUAUGAACGAUAAGCAAAGAUUAUUAAAAGUUCAUAAAAAGAGAAUUCAGGAUAUUGUAACUUUAUCUUUUGAACCUUUACAAGCAUUCUUACCGAAUCCCUUGCAAUAUCUUGUCAUUCAAGAUGUUCAGGCAUAUCUUAAAAACUUAAAACAAUGAUAACAGAAAAAUUGAAUACCCACAUAAAUAAAUAAACAAACAAACAAGCA
Molecule: long non-coding RNA, 694 nt
Filed under: Piliocolobus tephrosceles (Ugandan red Colobus)
Lineage: Eukaryota; Metazoa; Chordata; Mammalia; Primates; Cercopithecidae
Description: lncRNA (ENSPTEG00000014427.1)
Source: RNAcentral